CUUCUUGUGAAUGAUUUGUCUGGUUAUUCCGAUAACGAACGUGACUCAAUCAAAUUAAAUAGAACGCUAUCAGCAGUCAGAUGUUUGAUACCGACGGUUCGGGCAACGGUCGCUCGCGACACGCGCUCGGCCGGCGGUGUAGUGUGACCUGAUAAUACGUCAACCCAUCGUGGUUGACUUCUGCUUAAUAGGACAAUUUGUGUUCAGCAAAAUGAGAUUGAGCGAUAACAGGUCCGUGAUGCCCUUAGAUGUUCUGGGCUGCACGCGCGCUACAAUGUGCGCAGCAACGCGUAUCCUUGCCCGAAAGGGCCGGGAAAUCGCUUAAAUGCGCAUUUAGUCGGGAUUAUGGAUUGAAAUGGUCCAUAUGAACCUGGAAUUCCCAGUAAGUGCUGGUCAUUAGCUAGCGUUGAUUACGUCCCUGCCCUUUGUACACACCGCCCGUCGCUACUACCGAUGGAUUAUUUAGUGAGGUCUUUGAAGGUGAACAUUUGCUUGUCCCCCCUCGGGA
Molecule: ribosomal RNA, 508 nt
Filed under: Aedes albopictus (Asian tiger mosquito)
Lineage: Eukaryota; Metazoa; Arthropoda; Insecta; Diptera; Culicidae
Description: SSU rRNA
Rfam family: Eukaryotic small subunit ribosomal RNA
Source: RNAcentral